CACAUACUCCCUCCGUUCUAAAUUUUUUGUUUUAGGUUUGUCUAAAAAUGGUGUAUCUAAAUACUAAAACGUAAUUAGGUACAUUCAUACCUAGACAAAUCUAAGAUAAAAAAAUUUAGGAUGGAUGGAGUAUUUA
This is a non-coding RNA of Hordeum vulgare subsp. vulgare (domesticated barley), 136 nucleotides long. The record is from Rfam. Lineage: Eukaryota; Viridiplantae; Streptophyta; Magnoliopsida; Poales; Poaceae.